RNAcentral lists this long non-coding RNA (258 nucleotides) under Ictidomys tridecemlineatus (thirteen-lined ground squirrel). RNAcentral's name for it is "lncRNA (ENSSTOG00000029713.1)". Lineage: Eukaryota; Metazoa; Chordata; Mammalia; Rodentia; Sciuridae. The record is from RNAcentral.
CCAAUACCUGAACCAGAGGAUGAAGAAACAAGGAAGGCAAGAGAAAAAGAAAGAAGGAGGAGGUUGAAAAGAGGAGCGGAAGAAGAAGAGGAAAUUGAUGCAGAGGAAUUGGAAAGACUGAAGGCAGAGUUAGAUGAAAAGAGACAAAUAAUUGCGACAGUUAAAUGCAAACCUUGGAAGAUGGAGAAGAAAAUUGAAGUUCUCAAGUAUGUUGCUACUUUUCAUAUGUAUAAACACUUUCCCUGUUAUUGAUCUCCU